RNAcentral lists this long non-coding RNA (330 nucleotides) under Mytilus galloprovincialis (Mediterranean mussel). Lineage: Eukaryota; Metazoa; Mollusca; Bivalvia; Mytilida; Mytilidae. The record is from RNAcentral.
UUAAAACAUCUACCAAAGAAUACAUAGGACUUAAAUAUUUUCUUCUUCUUUAUUUUUCAGAAGUGGCUAUUCCAAAGAGAAGAAAAAAAUUUAUUACAACUGUGAUAUGUUUAUAUCAUAGAUGUGGGAGUGCAUUAUAUAUGUCAGGAGUGUGACGCUUUUUUAAGACAUUUUCUGUCAAUUCAUAAUUUCACAAGGACAAGUUCCACAAGUUUCUUUGUGUUAGAAAUGUUAAAACCAAGUUAUAUUCCUAUCAUUUACCUCUUAAAUGUGUUAUUUAUCAUGAUUGUUUUGGCACAAUAAGUUUUAAUUAGUCAUUUUCUAUUUUUU